AAAGGAGAAGAAAUAUAAGAAACCCAAGUUCAAUGUUAUUCAUUGCUUUUACUUGUACUCUGAUUUUUGAGCUGUGAAUCAUUGAGAAAACCCAGAGAGGUGGCGGGGAUCCUGCAUUUACAGUGGUGGAAGAACUGAAAGAAGAAGAAACUGGAAGAGUGGAAGAGAUCAAUGAGCAGAGACUAAAACAACGUUAGUACUACGCUUGAUGUCAAAAUAAUCUGGUAAGUCGUCCUGGGUUUUCGGGUAUUCGUUUGCCCAAGUUUGUAUAUUUGACCCGUUCAAUUAACUGGGCUUUGUCCCACUCCCACCAUGCAAUACAAACAAACCCGUUUGGAACCCAUUUUGACAGGAACGAGAUUAAGGUCCCGCUAUGGGUUUAGAACAUGUUCGGCCUUUUAAGAUUAAAUUCGACUGAAAGCAGAGCAAUAAAUAUUAAACAACUAUAUUUACCUGUGUUUGGAUUGCAUAAAAACAAAAGAAAGAAGAGAAGUUGCAAAAGGAAAAAAAGAAAGGAAAGGAGAGUAACACUCUAUUGAUGCACAAAGUGAGAGUCGGUGAUUCUGGUCGGUUAACUUAUUUUAGUACUAGGUGGAGAGUCGCAUGUGGGCAUAGAGAUCCCAGCUUGGUUGAUCUAGAGAGGAAGGAGAGGCCUUUGAUGAGGAAGAAGAUUGGAGAAGAAAAAUCCCCUCCCUCCUAUAAGCGAAGCCUGGAAAUUUUUUAGACGAAAUUAAAUUGUAUAUUUUUAUAAUAAUAAAAAUAUAAUUUUAUUAUUUUAAUAGUUUAUAUAUUUACAUUUUUUUAAGGAUUGAAUUAAAUUUUUAUCAUUUUAAGGGUCAAAGUGUAAUUUUACCAUUACUAAUUUAAAAUUUUAUAAAUUAUAAAUGAGUCUAAAUGUAAAAUUGUGCCUUUUAGAGAGGAUCGAGCCCCUGCCAACCCCUUAGAUUCACCACUGCUCCCUCUCUCGUCUUAAACCCUUUUAGAGGAAAAAUAAGAGAUUGUCUUUUGUGUCGAUCCAUUGUAAUGAUAGUUUAUUCAUUUAAAGGGCCAUAAUGUAUAAAAGAUGUAACAAGUGAACCCUUGAUGAGAUUUAAUAAUAUUUAUAUGCAUAACAAUUGUCCCUCAGUCAAGGGAAAAGUUAUAAAGUUACUUUUCUUAAGCUCGUUUUUCUUUUAGAGGUGUCCUUUUUGGUAAGGACAAUCUAAUAGUGGAACAUUUUUUGAAAUAUUGUGUAACACCCCAGACACUUGUCUGGUCCGGUCACUGGGCCUAAGCUGCAGGAGGCUACCAUACAAAACUCAGAUAACAUUUUAUGUACUUUAAACAUGCAUGACAGGCCAUGCCGUGGACUAGUAAAUGAUGGAUCACUACAAUGAAUCGAUCAGCUAUACAUAGUAUUUUUUAAAGCUAAAUUGAGAAUUUUUUUCCACAUACAACUUUUUCAAAAAGUAUGGUGGAUUGUUUCGCAAAUACCUCUACAAUACAAUAAGUACUGCGGAAAUUGCUAAUGUGCAUUAAAAACAAAACUUGCAUUCAUUUUAUUUACAAACAUCAAGAGAGGACAAGGAUAGCCCUUUAAACUCUAACUUGGCUUAUUACAAAAUAACAAUUGCCACUUAGAACAAUUAUUCAAAAUCAAAGGCCUACCAUAACAUCUAGCGGAUAGUGUGACCUUCUUGUUGUUCCGAUCUAUGAGUUCUGAAUGUUCCAAAAUCUACAAUGUAAAAGUAAUUUUGGUGUAAGUAUUGAGAAUACUUUGUAAGCUCAUACAAAUUCAAUAAUCACUUACAUCGCGUAAUAAUUAUAUAAUAAAAUAAUACAAAAUUAUAGUUUCCCUAUCCACUAACAUAGUUCGCCAACAAGGUAAAUGCAUAUAUUUUAUUAACUAUAAUAUAUCGAGUAAGCAACACGAUAUAAUGACACUCUUCCUGUCAAAUUCAAUCUCAUACCUUUCGUUGAUACGGACUUCAACAAUAUUAAUUAAUUCUUUCAUUUCCCCUCAUUUCUUAACUUUCUAACUUCACAUUUCACAUGUUUUAUAUUACUCGAUGAACAUCGUAAAAGAAUUCAAAACACAAGUACGCUUCAGUGCAAAGGCUCAUUCGAGCUAAUCACAUACAGAGGUAUAAGGUUACCCGUUGUGCUAAAUCUUCAUCGACACAAUAAAAGACUAACCAGGGCUAUAUGCAUGUAAGGUUACCAGUCCAGACUAAACCUUUAAAACGACAUCAGAUUACCCGUCCAAGUUAGAUCUGUGUCACAUGUAUCUUCGAAUCCGCAACAAAUGUUGGAUCUCGGAAUCAUCAGGAAAUAACAUGUAUCCAUGUGUAUGAAUCUUUUACUAAGUUUAUCGGAACACUGUCAUUUUGUAAUUCCAUUCACAUUCUUUCAUAAUAGAAUUUAGUAUUUUUCUCCUCUCUAAAUAUACUUAGCAAUCAAAUCUACUUGCUAAAUUUUUAAUUGUAUAAUUUAAAAACAAAAGGAAAGAAAGUUAAAUAAUGUUCAUAUUGCAUGAACUUACUUGACGGAAUGGUAACACACCAUGAUAAAUCCUACUCAACAACCUUUCCUUUUCCACGAUCUUCUCUUUACAAAUUCAAAUCUUGAUCUAUAACAUAAUUUAAUUCAAUUCUUAUCAUCCAAAUAUCAUUCAUCGUCUUACUGUAUUUAUAAGUCAAUUCAAUUCUAUCACUUGAAAUUCUAAAUACUAUUCAUCAGCUUACAAUGCAUCUAAACCCUUUUGGACAUUCAUACUUGAAUCUUUAUAAAUUAAGAAUAACAAUUCUUCACUUUACCAAGCAAAUCUUUUUAUAUCUAAAUUUCUAAUCAAAUCAAUUAACAUCAACACCUCAAGCAAGUAACAAUGGUAACACUUCAAAACUUUAACAGUUUUGAAAAUAGAUACACGGGUUAGCUAAAUUGAGUUAUUACGUUCACAAAAACAUAAAACUUAUGAGAAUCAGACUACAAUUUACUUAUCAUGCAAGGUCGAAAGCUAAGGAGAUUCUUAAAGCUUUUCUUUCCUCCUACUAUGGUGAGAUUUCGAAGAAGAAUAUGAGAAUGAAAAUCAUUCUCUUUCCUUCCACUGAAAUGCUUACUCUCACAAUUAUCAAAGUGUUAUUUUUCUAACAUUCUAAUAGGUGUUCAUCCAAAUCCACACAUCAACCAUCCACUAACAUUGAAAGUGGACAAUUGCUAUAUAAAAUCUUUUAACUCUUAAAGGUCAAAGAUGACUAACUAUUACAUUCAUUACAAUUUAGUCAUUAAACUAAAAUUUAUUAUCAAAUCAACCAAAUUAUUAAAUCAGAUUUUCUCGUAAUAAUAUAAUAGACUAGUAAUCAUGAAAUAUGAAAACUUACAAACUCACCCAUCAAUAAACGAGGUUCCGAAAUCAUCGUUUUCAAUACCACUGAAAUUGAAACGUUACAUAUUGAAAGCCUAAAAAAGGCAAAAAAUCUUAUAUGAGGAUGCAAUACAUAUAGUUCAGGACGGUUAACUCUUUUAAUACAGAGCAAAGAGUUGCACCACUUAAUUCUUAUGCCAUGUAACACCCCCUAACCCUAAACUGUCGCCGGAACAGGGUUACGGAGUAUUACCAGACAAAUCGGAUAUCUUAUAACUAUUUCACAAAUAAAUAACAUACAUAGCAUCCUUGUAUCAAAUAUGUCAUAUUAGUUCCAUUUCAUACUUGUAACCAAUUUAAACAUCAUUAUACAACUAUAAUCACAAGAUUAUUAUUUUUAACCUAUACAUCACCUUGAUACAUGCCACAUUAUCAAAAAAAAGGUUCAUCACUAAAAUUUUUCUGAGGUCGGGAUUGCUCUGGAUGCUGGACCGGACACUGGCUUUCUACUAACCUGCGCACGGAAACAACCGUACGCUGAGUAUAGGUAUACUCAGUGGUAUUACCAUAAUUCAAAUUUAUAACAUUAAUCAAUAAAUUAUAUACAUUCAAUUUAUGCCUGCAAUUAUUCAUUAAUUAUCUCAUACUUUAAAUCAAUUAAUAUCAAUAAGCAAUAUUUCACUAUCUCAAUUUUAUUGGAUUUUUCACAUCUCAUUCCAAUAGUUCAUUUCAAUUCAUAUACAAUUCAUUCAAUUUAUCACUAUAUUCAAUAUCAACUCUAUUGCAAUUUUUACUCAUUAAUAUCAUAUAACAAAAAUUUACUCUUAAUUAAAUCAUGAACUUUGGGUUCAUGUCUUCAAAUCUCAUAUCUCGAUUUCCAAUUCACAUAUCAAUUCACAAUUUCACUUUCUCAUUUCUUUCCAUAUCUCAAUCAAUCACACUUAUUCAAAUUUUCUCAUUUCAAUUAUUUACCCCUAUUAACUUGACUCGGACCUUGGCGGAUAUACGGAUCCAACUAAACACACCAAAAUGGCACCCAGUGCCUCAUCGGAUAGUUCGAAGCAAUAAAGUGACAUCCACUGUCUCAUCGGCAGAGCUGAAGAAAGUUGGUACCCAGUACCUCAUCGAAACUAUCCGAAGAAAUAUAGUGACACCCAGUGUCUCGUCGACUCGAGGUCGAAGUAUCCCUGAACACUUCCAAUCCUAUGGCAUGCCAACUAUAUCCGACUCAGCCCGACUAGUUAAUAGGGUAUUCAAAUCAUUUUUCUAUUUCAAAUUCAAUUUCGAUACAAUCACAAUUCAAUUCAAAUUCACUUUCCACUUUCUAAUCAAUAUAUAAUUCAAUACUAAUACAUUUUCCACUUUUCAAUCAAUGUACCAUCAAAUGCUCAUAUAUAUUCAUACUUCGUUUCAAUUUCAUUCAAUUCGCAAUUUCUCAAUAAAUUUCUCAAUCCAAUAUGCAUUUCAAUACCACAUUAAUUCUUUUAAUUCAAAUCAUAUCACUAGUAAUUUCCAUUCAAUUCACAUACAAUUCAAUAUCAUUAAAUUCAAUAUCGAUUUUCACUUUAUUUUUAUUUACUAAACAUAUUAUUCAAAAAUCAACAAUUGCUAUUAAUAAAUUCAAUACCAAUACGUAUUUAUCAUUCAAUUCAACCUUGAUACUUACCUCAAUUUGCUUAUCAUGUAUAUUAAUUUAAAUUUUAACAAUUAAUAAUUAAAUUCGAAUUAUGGUAAUACUAACCGAAAUUUCUCUUGAGUCACUCCUUGUCCACCUUCUCAUUUCCUUUCUUGGUCAAUGACUCUUGCGCGACAUUAGCUACGUAAUUAAACAAUUAAAAAUCAUUAAUACACAAUUUCAUUUAAAUAUUUUCAUUUAUUCCUAAACUUUACCUAAAUUUUAAUUUAAACCCUUACCAAUACUAAUUUUAUUUUUCCAAUCGAACUCCAUAUUCUCUCUUAAUUCUCACUAUAAACUCAUUUUAACUCUUCAAUUUCACCAUAAAUCCCUAAUUUUGAGAUUCUUUUAAUCCCAACUAUUCAAAACUUACACUUUAUUUUACAAUUAAAUCAUUUACUAACUUCUAACUUGAAAUUAAAUCAAUUUAACCCCUAAUUCAUCAUCUUUCACAACAUGAACCAUGUCUUAAAAAAAUCUAAUAUCUUACAAAAUUUCAACAUAAAUCCAAAAAUACUUUGUUCUAGGAUUCCAAAAAAUCAAAAUUACAAGAAAAUGGAUUAAAUUAACUUACCAAAUUAACUUUGAACCUUGACACCCCAAAUUUUCCUUUUCUCUUCUGAAGUGCUUCUUCUUCUUUGUUGGGCAAUAACAUGACUUGUCUUCUUUGCCACAUUUGAUUUUAAGAUGCGAGUCAGUACAGGCUUUGUCUAUUCUUCUAUUACCAUGAAGAUAGUCCUUGAAGACUUUUCUUCUGUUGCAGAUGUCUUCAAGAGCAAUAAACGUCUCUUGCUGGAUUUCUCCCAUGGUCAAAUUGAGGAUAUUUUUAUUUUGCCUGUAGAGGUUCUGGUUAAUUGCAACUUGAAUAGGAUCUGGAAGAGAUGCGACAACAGCUUGCUUCAAACUUGGUUCUGAUCCAAGAGCAUAGUAAAGCUUCAUCAUAGCAUAAAAAUGCUUAGACAAAUCUUUUUUUUGAUAGGAGCAACAUUUCCUUUUGAAGAAUUCUCGCCUUUUGAGUGUCAGCAGAUCAUCAGGAUUACCAAUAAAAUAACUAUGGAUAAUCCUUAUGGCUUGAGAAAAAUCUGUUAACACCAAAAACUGUAAUUGAUCCGCCUGAGUAACUGAGUUCCACCAAUCUUUCAACAUUCCUGUGAAUCUUGAAACAAAUUCAGACAGGAUGUUAUAAUGGCUUUCUUCUGUUAGCCUUCUCGUAUCAAGCAAUGCAUGGAACUCUUGUAAUCUUUCAGGCCAUUUGUUAAUUGGAAUAUCAUCCAGCGUGAAAACCAUCUUUGUUGUAGAGACAUGCGGUGCUGAUCUUGCAUUUGAUGGUUCUCCAACUUCAGUCAUCUCUUCAUCUGAUGGUUCUCCAACUUUCACACCAGGUGUGGCCAUUACUUCUGGCAAAUCCUCUAUUCCUUCUUCUGAGGAAUUAUUGGUUUUUUCAAUUGAUUCUGAAUCAUAAGGAUCUGCUGAUCUUUCUGAUUCCCCUGAAGAAGAUACUGAAUCAUCUUCUUCUGUAACUGGGGUUGUUUCUGAUUCAUGUCAUUCGGCUAUAGAUAUUUUUGGUAGUAUUUUUUGGCUGUAAUCCUUUAAAAACCCUAUUAAGGGAUUAGAAGGAUUUUUCUCAUUUUGUACCAUGAGAGACUUUGACAUUAGCUUUGGUGGUGGAGAUGUUGGUGGUGAAGAGAAUUGACUUUCUUCAUCUUCCUGUUUCUCCACUGGCCUUUUGCCUCUAGCCUUUUCUCUUUUCCUUUUUUCUUCCUCCUUUUGUGCUUUGAUUUGUUGACACAAUUCAUAAACUGUGGCCUUCUUCUUUGGCUCUGGUGGAGGGAAAAUGAUUAGCUGUGUUCCACUUUGUCGAGUUUUAUCUGUCUGUCUUAUAGAUGGGAAAAGUUCAAUCCUAUUUUUCUCCGGUUGUCGUGGUGGCAGCUUCCCGUUUUCUUUUAGGUACUUUAUCUGUUCUUUAAGAUUCUGGAUUUCUUUUUCUCUUUGUGCCAGAUGAGCGAGACCAUGCUAUUCUCCUCAACAAGUUCCAGCAAAUUAUUCUUAAUUUUGGAAUAAUGCUUUCUGAAAAGAAAAUGUAGAUCAACAAGCAGGAGAUUGAGUUUCUUGGAAUGAUCAUCAAAGAUGGAAGAUAUCAGCCAAAUCCAAACAUUGCAGAAGAAUUGAAGAAAUUUCCUGACAAAAACCUCACCCAGAAACAAGUCCAACAAUUUCUUGGGAUAGUUAAUUAUCUUAGGGAUUUUGUUCCCAAGAUAGCCAAAUAAACAAAUCCUUUGAGAAAGAUGCUCAAAAAAGAUCCACCUCCCUAGAAGUCCAAACAAACAAAAGCUGUCCGACAGAUCAAGGAGAAAACAGCAUGUUUGCUACCACUACAGAUCCCAUUCAGUGAUAAAAGAAUUUUGCAGACUGAUGCAAGUGACAGAUACUGGGGAGCAAUACUCUUUGAAGAAAAAAAUGGAAAAAUAUGACUUUGCGGAUAUAAGAGUGGAAGAUUUACAGAUGCAGAAAUCCAUUAUCACUCUACCUUUAAGGAAAUUCCUGCUGUGAAAUAUGGAAUUACUAAAUUCCAAUUUCAUUUAACAGGAUAUCAUUUCCUUGUUGAGAUGGAUGUGUCAUCUUUUCCAAAAAUGCUCAAGUUUAAAUAGAAGGAAGUUCCACAUUUUCAACUUCUUAGAUGGGCAGAAUGGUUUUCCAGAUUCUCCUUUGAGGUUGUACACAUUAAAGGCAAGGAUAAGGUUCUUGCAGAUAUCCUUACUAGAUUACCUGAAAAUGAAACCCAAACUCCAAAACCCAUUGAAGUCUUCAUGUUUCAACCUUCCUCUUCCUCAAAAGGAAAAAAGAAACAAUUUCAACAAACACCUUCACCUUUUUCCCUUCCUUGUAAACCAAAUUCCCAUCUAGAACACCCUCCAGAAGUUUUAAGUCUAAUCCUAGAAAAGAAAUUCCAUAAAGAAGCCAUGAACAUGAUGCUUUCUUAUCAAUUAGACGUCUUUAGGAAUUUCGGAGGAUUAUUUCUUAAGCCUUUAGGCCUACAUCCUGAUUACCCAUUUAUAAACCCAAUCAAGUUCCAGUUUGGUGAGUUUCCUGAAGAAUUAAAAUGGAUGUUCUGGUAUUUAACUUAUCUCUUUCACAUAGGGAUUGAGUUCUUUAUGCCUGACCUCCAACACUUCUUAACAAUGGCAGUCCGCAAUGAAGAAGCUCCUGAGAUGAAAAACCUGGCCACAUUUUUAAAAUGGUUCUAUCCUUUAAAAUAUUGGGUAGAUAUGCUCAUGUUUGAGUUUCUCAAAAAUACCCGUAUCCAGUGGAUAGUAAUCAUUUUCUAUAAACCUCAAUACUUCACGCAAAAUGGACCAGCAACACAAUUAGUCUCUCUUCCUAGCUCCUGGAUCCAUAAAACAUACUUUGAAGAAGUUUAUGAGAAUCCUUUUGAUCUCAAGAAGCUACAAAAAUAUCUGUGUCAUAUUAACAAGAUUAUUCCUUCAGAAAUAUGGCCCUCGGGAGAUUCAUCAGCACCAUGGGAUGUUCAAAGGAAUCCACCGACACCCUAUUAGAACCAAUUGAAAGAAGCCCUGAAUGAAUAUGCGUCCAACAUACCAGAUCCAAAAGAAUGAUCUCAAGAUUAUCCCAUGCAUUGCAGCCAGAUAAUUCAAGGCACACAUAUCUGAAAGAUAUACAUGAAGAGGGACCAAGUGAAAAAGGACCAAGUGUUUCAAAAGCUCCACUUCCCAAAAGCAAUAAUGAUGAUGGGCAGGUGAGUAAGAAGCAAGAGAUCAGCAAUUAACGAUUUAUAACAGCAGGUAUGCUAUGCCAAAACACAGGCCUUUCAUCUCUUUUUUGGCCAUCAACAAGGCACUGCCUUUUAGCUAUUAAAAUUCUUUAAUCACUGAACUCCUUUUUCAAACUCAACUGAACUUAAUAGUAUCUUCUAUCAGGUUUAAUUUCUGAUGUGCAGGAUCCAUAAGUAUGGCAAGCACAGAGCAUACUCUUAAACUCAUGAGAUAUUUUUCUUCAUAGAAAUUCUAUUUUUAAGUAAGAAGAGAUGAGAGAGGUUUAGAAAGCCAUAGAUUUAUGAAACUCGUCUGGGUUUUAUUUCAAAGGUAGUUCUUGUGUUACAACUGACACCUCUCCAUCCUUAUAUAGAGGAGGAUAUAGAUAAGCAGAUAAGAAGGAAUCUGCUUUUACACCACUCAUUAAAGCAAACAACAUGACUCAGCAUAUUUUACAAAAGUAAGACACAACUAGAAGUAGAUAAGGAGGAAUCUGCUUUAUCUACUUUUAUACUAUUGACACGUCUGUAUCUGUGUCAUAAUCUGUGUCAAUAUCAGAAGUAAUAUUGAGUUCCUCUAUUUUCUGUCUUUUCUUUUCACGGGCUCUGUAACUCCUAAGCUCCAACCUUUCAAUUCUUCUUUCUAGGUCAUCUGGUGGUAUCACAUCAUCAUUAUUGCUUUUGGGAAGUGGAGCUUUUGAAACACUUGGUCCUUUUUCACUUGGUCCCUCUUCAUGUAUAUCUUUCCAGAUAUGUGUGCCUUGAAUUAUCUGGCUGCAAUGCAUGGGAUAAUCUUGAGACCAUUCUUUUGGAUCUGGUAUGUUGGACCAAUAUUCAUUCAGGGCUUCUUUCAAUUGGUUCUGAUAGGGUGUCGGUGGAUUCCUUUGAACAUCCCAUGGUGCUGAUGACUCUCCCGAGGGCCAUAUUUCUGAAGGAAUAAUCUUGUUGAUCUAACACAGAUAUUUUUGUAGCUUCUUGAGAUCAAAAGGAUUCUCAUAAACCUCUUCAAAGUAUGUUUUAUGGAUCCAGGAGCUAGGAAGGGAGGCUAAUUGUGUUGCUGGUCCAUUUUGCAUAAAGUAUUGAGGUUUAUAGAAAAUGAUUACUAUCCACUGGAUACGGGUAUUUUUGAGAAACUCAAACAUGAGCAUAUCUACCCAAUAUUCUAAAGGAUAGAACCAUUUUUAAAAUGUGGCCAGGUUUUUCAUCUCAGGAGCUUCUUCAUUGUGGACUGCCAUUGUUAAGAAGUGUUGGAGGUCAGGCAUAAAGAACUCAAUCCCUAUGUGAAAGAGAUGAGUUAAAUACCGGAACAUCCAUUUUAAUUCUUCAGGAAACUCACCAAACUGGAACUUGAUUGGGUUUAUGAAUGGGUAGUCAGGAUGUAGGCCUAAAGGCUUAAGAAAUAAUCCUCCGAAAUUCCUAAAGACGUCUAAUUGAUAAGAAAGCAUCAUGUUCAUGGCUUCUUUAUGGAAUUUCUUUUUUAGGAUUAUACUUAAAACUUCUGGAGGGUGUUCUGGAUGGGAAUUUGGUUUACAGGGAAGGGAAAAAGGUGAAGGUGUUUGUUGAAAUUGUUUCUUUUUUCCUUUUGAGGAAGAGGAAUGUUGAAACAUGAAGACUUCAAUGGGUUUUGGAGUUUGGGUUUCAUUUUCAGGUAAUCUAGUAAGGAUAUCUGCAAGAACAUUAUCCUUGCCUUUAAUGUGUACAACCUCAAAGGAGAAUCUGGAAAACCAUCUUGCCCAUCUAAGAAGUUGUGAAUGUGGAACUUUUUUCUGUUUAAACUUGAGCAUUUUUGGAAAAGAUGACAUAUCCAUCUCAACAAGGAAAUGAUAUCCUGUUAAAUGAAAUUGGAAUUUAGUAAUUCCAUAUUUCACAGCAGGAAUUUCCUUAAAGGUAGAAUGAUAAUGGAUUUCUGCAUCUGUAAAUCUUCCACUCUUAUAUCCGCAAAGUCGUAUUUUUCCAUUUUUUUUCUUCAAAGAGUAUUGCUCCCCAGUAUCUGUCACUUGCAUCAGUCUGCAAAAUUCUUUUGUCACUGAAUGGGAUCUGUAGUGGUGGCAAACAUGCUGUUUUCUCCUUGAUCUGUCGGACAGCUUUUGUUUGUUUGGACUUCCAGGGAGGUGGAUCUUUUUUUAGCAUCUUUCUCAAAGGAUUUGUUAAUUUGGCUAUCUUGGGAACAAAAUCCCUAAGAUAAUUAACUAUCCCAAGAAAUUGUUGAACUUGUUUCUAGGUGAGGUUUUUGUCAGGAAAUUUCUUCAAUUCUUCUGCAAUGUUUGGAUUUGGCUGAUAUCUUCCAUCUUUGAUGAUCAUUCCAAGAAACUCAAUCUCCUGCUUGUUGAUCUGCAUCUUCUUUUCAGAAAGCAUUAUUCCAAAAUUAAGAAUAAUUUGCUGAAACUUGUUGAGGAGAAUAGCAUUAUUCCACUCUUAUAUCCGCAAAGUCGUCUUUUUCUAUUUUUUAUUUCAAAGGUAGUUCUUGUGUUACAACUGACACUUCUCCAUCCUUAUAUAGAGAAGGAUUGAGAUAAGCAGAUAAGAAGGAAUAUGCUUUUACACCACUCAUUAAAGCAAACAACAUGACUCAGCAUAUUUUACCAAAGUAAAGAGACACAACUAGAAGUAGAUAAGGAGGAAUCUGCUUUAUCUACUUUUAUACUAUUGGCACGUCUGUAUCUGUGUCAUAAUCUGUGUCAAUAUCAGAAGUAAUAUUGAGUUUCUCUAUUUUCUGUCUUUUCUUUUCACGGGCUCUGUAACUCCUAAGCUCCAACCUUUCAAUUCUUCUUUCCAGGUCAUCUGGUGGUAUCACAUCAUCAUUAUUGCUUUUGGGAAGUGGAGCUUUUGAAACACUUGGUCCUUUUUCACUUGGUCCCUCUUCAUGUAUAUCUUUCCAGAUAUGUGUGCCUUGAAUUAUCUGGCUGCAAUGCAUGGGAUAAUCUUGAGACCAUUCUUUUGGAUCUGGUAUGUUGGACCAAUAUUCAUUCAGGGCUUCUUUCAAUUGGUUCUGAUAGGGUGUCGGUGGAUUCCUUUGAACAUCCCAUGGUGCUGAUGACUCUCCCGAGGGCCAUAUUUCUGAAGGAAUAAUCUUGUUGAUCUGACACAGAUAUUUUUGUAGCUUCUUGAGAUCAAAAGGAUUCUCAUAAACCUCUUCAAAGUAUGUUUUAUGGAUCCAGGAGCUAGGAAGGGAGGCUAAUUGUGUUGCUGGUCCAUUUUACAUGAAGUAUUGAGGUUUAUAGAAAAUGAUUACUAUCCACUGGAUACGGGUAUUUUUGAGAAACUCAAACAUGAGCAUAUCUACCCAAUAUUCUAAAAGAUAGAACCAUUUUUAAAAUGUGGCCAGGUUUUUCAUCUCAGGAGCUUCUUCAUUGCGGACUGCCAUUGUUAAGAAGUGUUGGAGGUCAGGCAUAAAGAACUCAAUCCCUAUGUGAAAGAGAUGAGUUAAAUACCGGAACAUCCAUUUUAAUUCUUCAGGAAACUCACCAAACUGGAACUUGAUUGGGUUUAUAAAUGGGUAAUCAGGAUGUAGGCCUAAAGGCUUAAGAAAUAAUCCUCCGAAAUUCCUAAAGACGUCUAAUUGAUAAGAAAGCAUCAUGUUCAUGGCUUCUUUAUGGAAUUUCUUUUCUAGGAUUAGACUUAAAACUUCUGGAGGGUGUUCUGGAUGGGAAUUUGGUUUACAGGGAAGGGAAAAAGGUGAAGGUGUUUGUUGAAAUUGUUUCUUUUUUCUUUUUGAGGAAGAGGAAGGUUGAAACAUGAAGACUUCAAUGGGUUUUGGAGUUUGGGUUUCAUUUUCAGGUAAUCUAGUAAGGAUAUCUGCAAGAACAUUAUCCUUGCCUUUAAUGUGUACAACCUCAAAGGAGAAUCUGGAAAACCAUUCUGCCCAUCUAAGAAGUUGUGAAUGUGGAACUUUCUUCUGUUUAAACUUGAGCAUUUUUGGAAAAGAUGACAUAUCCAUCUCAACAAGGAAAUGAUAUCCUGUUAAAUGAAAUUGGAAUUUAGUAAUUCCAUAUUUCACAGCAAGAAUUUCCUUAAAGGUAGAGUGAUAAUGGAUUUCUGCAUCUGUAAAUCUUCCACUCUUAUAUCCGCAAAGUCGUAUUUUUCCAUUUUUUUUCUUCAAAGAGUAUUGCUCCCCAGUAUCUGUCACUUGCAUCAGUCUGCAAAAUUCUUUUGUCACUGAAUGGGAUCUGUAGUGGUGGCAAACAUGCUGUUUUCUCCUUGAUCUGUCGGACAGCUUUUGUUUGUUUGGACUUCCAGGGAGGUGGAUCUUUUUUUAGCAUCUUUCUCAAAGGAUUUGUUAAUUUGGCUAUCUUGGGAACAAAAUCCCUAAGAUAAUAAACUAUCCCAAGAAAUUGUUGGACUUGUUUCUAGGUGAGGUUUUUGUCAGGAAAUUUCUUCAAUUCUUCUGCAAUGUUUGGAUUUGGCUGAUAUCUUCCAUCUUUGAUAAUCAUUCCAAGAAACUCAAUCUCCUGCUUGUUGAUCUGCAUCUUCUUUUCAGAAAGUAUUAUUCCAAAAUUAAGAAUAAUUUGCUGGAACUUGUUGAGGAGAAUAGCAUGGUUCCGCUCAUCAGGGCUGUAAAGAAGGAUAUCAUCAAUGUAAAUCAAGGCUUGAUCCAUAAUAGGCUGGAAGAUUCUGAUCAUGGCCUUUUGAAAUUUUGAAGGGGCCGUUUUGAGUCCAAAGGGCAUUACAGUCCACUGGUAAUGUUUGUUUGGAAUGCAAAAACCAGUUUUGGGCCUGUCUUCAGGAUCUAUACCCCAUUGCCAAAAUCCUGCUUUUAAGUCAAAUUUUGAAAAAAUCUGGGCCUUCGCAAGACUUGAAAAUAGGCAAUUUCUAUUGGGUAAAGGGAAUUUAUCGUCUUGGAGAAAAUGAUUGAGAGGUUGGUAAUUUAUUACCAAUCUUAGCUUUCCACGAGCUUGCUCGGAUCUCUUAUUGACAUAGAAUGCUUCACAUGCCCAUUGUGAAUCUGAGUCUUCUAUCAAUCCUUUUGUCUACAAUUGUUGACAUUCUUGUUCAGCUAAUUUGAGAUGAUCUGGAUUCAUCCCAACAUGACUAGCUUUAGUAGGAUUAAUGUCUUCAUUUUUCUUGAAAGGAAGUUUGAUGAAGAAUUUUGAAUUUUUCCAUAGAGGAUGGUCGUAUUUUUUCAGAAAAUCUGAAUGCGAGUCUGCACAUGCUUUUUGCCUUAAUUCUUCAACAACUUCUUGAAUUUUGUCAGCAUUAAUUGAGAACAACCUGGGAAUUGGUACAUAAGGUUUAAACAUUUGCUUGUACCUUAUACCAUCUGGGAGAAUUCUUAAUUGUUUGGCUUUGAGAUAUAAAUCAAAACCAACAAUAAGAUCUUUUCCAGGAAGCUUUGAUCCCAGUAUUGUUGCGGUAAUGGAACAAGUAGGAAAGAACUGGAUCUUGAUAGACUUGCUUCUCAGGUUUGUUGUGAAAACCUUUCCUGAUGCUGAGCUAAAAUAUCUGGUAUGGGGCUCCCAGUAUUCUUUUGGCAGAAUUUCUGGAUUCAUGAUGGAUUAUGCGGCUCCAGUAUCAAUGAAGGCAAUUACAGUAAUAGGUUUACUGUAUUUGCUCAUAUAGAUAGAAACUGGAAUGUGAUGAGCUGUAAUCUCUGUGGAGGCAACAACUUGAGAGAUGUCUGAGAGAGAGUAACAAUCCAUUGAUGGUUGUAUCAUUAAUGAUGAAUCUAAUGAGGAGAAUUCUGAGUCUUUUGAAUCACUGGUUGCAAAGCUUUGAAUAGCACAUAUUGACAGAUCAUUUGGCUCAUCAUCAAUAGAAAAUAAAGACUAUAUCAUCUUCAUCAGUUAUUUUGAUUCCCGAUCUUUGCUGGAUUUGUCUGAUCAUCUUUGCUCCUUUCUUGUUUUUUGGACAGUCUUUUGCAAAGUGACCUUUUCUGUUGCAGAUGUAACAUCUUAUGGAUUUGGCUUUCUUAGAGAACUUUUUUUUUCUUGAGAUAUCUCUAUCUAAAUUUCUUUUGAGAUUUCAGUUUUCUGGCUCCCUUUUCUCUUCUGAAGUGCUUUUUCUUCUUUGUUGGGCAAUAACAUGACUUGUCUUCUUUGCCACAUUUGAUUUUAAUAUGCGAGUCAGUACAGGCUUUGUCUAUUCUUCUAUCACCAUGAAGAUAGUCCUUGAAGACUUUUCUUCUGUUGCAGAUGUCUUCAAGAGCAAUAAACGUCUCUUGCUGGAUUUCUCCCAUGGUCAAAUUGAGGAUAUUUUUAUUUUGCUUGUAGAGGUUCUGGUUAAUCGCAACUUGAAUAGGAUCUGGAAGAGAUGCGACAACAGCUUGCUUCAAACUUGGUUCUGAUCCAAGAGCAUAGUAAAGCUUCAUCAUAGCAUAUAAAUGCUUAGACAAAUCUUUUUUCUGAUAGGAGCAACAUUUUCUUUUGAAGAAUUCUCGCCUUUUGAGUGUCAGCAGAUCAUCAGGAUUACCAAUAAAAUAACUAUGGAUAAUCCUUAUGGCUUGAGAAAAAUCUGUUAACACCAAAAACUGUAAUUGAUCCGCCUGAGUAACUGAGUUCCACCAAUCUUUCAACAUUCCUGUGAAUCUUGAAACAAAUUCAGACAGGAUGUUAUAAUGGCUUUCUUCUGUUAGCCUUCUCGUAUCAAGCCAUGCAUGGAACUCUUGUAAUCUUUCAGGCCAUUUGUUAAUUGGAUUAUCAUCCAGCGUGAAGACCAUCUUUGUUGUAGAGACAUGCGGUGCUGAUCUUGCAUUUGAUGGUUCUCCAACUUCAGUCAUCUCUUCAUUUGAUGGUUCUUCAACUUUCACACCAGGUGUGGCCAUUACUUCUGGCAAAUCCUCAAUUCCUUCUUCUGAGGAAUUAUUGGUUUUUUCAAUUGAUUCUGAAUCACAAGGAUCUGCUGAUCUUUCUGAUUCCCCUGAAGAGGCUUAAAGAAGUUGCUCAUGAGCCAGCAGUGCCAGGACAAGAUUUAUUUUCUCAUCUGGCACAAAGAGAAAAAGAAAUCCAGAAUCUUAAAGAACAGAUAAAGUAUCUGAAAGAAAACGGAAAGUUGCCACCACGACAACCGGAGAAAAAUGGGAUUGAACUUUUCCCAUCUAUAAGACAGAUAGAUAGUCCUCGACAAAGUGAAACACAACCAAUCAUUUUCCCUCCACCAGAGCCAAAGAAGAAGGCCACAGUUUAUGAAUUGUGUCAACAAAUCAAAGCACAAAAGGAGGAAGAAAAAAAAAGCUGCAGAAGAAAAAAGGAAAAGAGAAAAGGCUAGAGGCAAAAGACCAGUGGAGAAACAGGAAGAUGAAGAAAGCCAAUUCUCUUAACCACCAACAUCUCCACCACCUCUUUCUCCCCUGUUUCUUUUCUAUUUCGUCCAUUGCUAUUAUUUAUUUUCUUUUAGUUUCUGUUUCUUUCUUUUACUUAGUUAUUUAAGUUAUACAUAUAUAUAUAAUAUAAUAUAAUUAAUAUAAUACUUAUUUAUUAAGUAAAUAAAUAUAAUAUAUAUUAACUAAAAUAUCUCAUAUAUUUCUUCUGUUAUGUCGCGUCAAUUUAGGCUGAUGGCAUAAUUCCCUAUUUGGUCCUUUUAACUUUUCUUUAAUCUAUUAUUCAACUUUCACCCCUACUUCAAUUUAGUCUUUUUUCACAAUAACUCUCAAUUAAGUCAAAUUCACUUAACCAAAACUUAAUUAAUCACACAACUAACUUCGUAAAUAUUUUUAAUAAAUAUUUACGAACCAGUUUCACUAAAUAGGAGGCCCGAUAAUUCACUUUCCAAUACCUGCACUUUUUAGAUCGUUACAAUUCUCCCCCCUAAAAAAAUUUCAUCCACGAAAUUUCUCACCUGAUACAAGUUAUUUAGUCAAAUAUUUUCUUCUACUUUUUUAAUUGAAGUCCAUAAAAUUCAAUGAUAAUUCAUAUAAUUUCCGGACUCUUGUCAAAACUCUUUUUAGAACUUGAUACUAUGCUUCACACAAUACCAUUAGUUUGAGGAUGAAAUGCAGUGUUACAGUACAAUCUCACACCCAAAAUUUACUGUAAUUUCCUCAAAAUCACAAUAUAACUUCGGAUCUCCAUUCAUAUCAAUGAAGACUGGCUCUCUGCGUAAACUAACAAUCUCAUAAAUGCAUAACUCACUAAUCUAUCAAAAGAGAAAUUUGUACGUAUUGAGAUAAAACGCAUAGACUUCUUCAAACAGUCAACAAUAGUUCAGAUAACAUCUAUCUUCUGCGAUGAUAAGAAUAAUCCUGAUACAAAAUUCAUCGAAAUUCUAUUUCGUUUCUACUCAAAUAUCAACACAUAAUAUAACAAUCCCUAAGACACUUGAAGAUCAGUUUUAACCUGUUGAAGGAUAAAAAAAAUUUGAAUAUAAAGUCAGAAAUAUCGCGUUUUAUACCCAUAGACCAUUACUUUGUCAUUCUUCAUCAAAAUACAGUCUAUUCCAUUUAAUGAUGUAACACUGUAAUAAUAAAUUUCUUACCCGAUUCAGACUGCACCAGAACUAAUGCUAAGCUUUAAAUUAUUCCGAGGCCAUUGUCAUCAAAUAAAUUAAAGCCAUAGUACUAUAGCAGAUCUAACGUCUCAACAAUAUAAAUGGAUCAAUACUUCAACUUCAAUAAUAUUUUUCAAAUAGAAGAGAAAAAUCGAGGAUGGCUCCAAUAUGAACCAGUGCAAUAAUACAGUUUCUAUAAUAUGUGAUCAUACUCUCAAAUUCCCAUGAUCAAGUCAAAAUUCAUAACAAUAAUAAGUAUAAGUACCACUGACCAACGGAUAUCUCUUCCAGUCAGACCAUAAAAUAACAAGAAAACCAAGACAACGAAAUCCAACUUGCAAAGCUGUACUGAAUUUCCGAGACGAUAAUCCAUGUUUCAUAAUAAAAAAUAUUGAUGAUAUUCCAAAGAAAAUCCAGAAAAGCAAUAUUGUACAUUCACACUAUAACAAUCAUAAUAGAGACACUGUAACUUGCACAUUUAUUAUUCAGAGCUUCAAUCAACUGAGGUAAAAAAUAAUAUCAUACGAAUCUUAUCAUCAAGUCUUCUAUCACUUAUAAUAGCUUGGGAGAACCAAAGAAAAGAUAAAACAAUACCACUCAUGAAUCAAUCAAACUUGAAAUCAUUUCCAUCUAUUACCAUAUUUCGCCAACCUUUUCAUAUAAUGAUUAUAGCAUUCGAACAUGAACAGUUACAUAUAUCUCCAAGAAUAACAAUACAUAUAGAAUGCCCAAAUAAAAUAUUUAGAAAAGAUUACUGUAAUAUACUCGAUUAUAACAGUUGUAUUCAAAUAUUUUUGCAAUUUCAUCACUAAUUCACUAACAUAUAUAGUCAUCAACAGCCCCAUAUCAUCCAAUUCACUCACGAAUCUUAUUCGGAAGAAAUUUUCAGAUCACUAAUUCACUAACAUAUAUAGUCAUCAACAGCCCCAUAUCAUCCAAUUCACUCACGAAUCUUAUUCGGAAGAAAUUUUCAGUUAACUCAUUCUGUAGAUACCAUAUCUAAAUAAAUCGAUUUCUCAUAAAUAACUUCUUUCUUUAAUAGUAGCAUUGUGUAUCCCAAAUAGUUUUUUUAAAAAAAACUCUGAUAUCUCUCUUCAAAACCCAUCUUUAUUUACUAACCCAUUCUCAGUUUUAACUGUUUUAUUUAUCAUUCCAUCGCUGAACUCUUCAGUUCCACACCUUUGAACUAGAUCAAUAUAAAUCUUAUGAAUUUCAUUAUAAAUAACUGUACCAAUAAUGGGUGGAGAUCGUAAGGCCUCACAUUUUAACUUCAUGUUUAUACUCAUAUAACAUAACAUUUAUCAUUUCGUAUGUACUAUAAAACAUUUAUCCAUAGCUUUUUCAAUUUAUAUAUUAUCAUAAGUACCAUUUUACUUAGAUACUUGAGUAUCACUUUCGAAAUCAUCGAAUAGCUGCGCGUUGAAUAGCUGCAAGCUUUUGGCGUUGGUUAUGGCUCUUUCUUUUGCUGCUCGGUCAAUAAUAUUACGAAAGUAGUAGAUGAUUAUAAGAUUUUAAUGCAAAAAAGUAUCUGAAAAAACUAGACAACCUACAAACAAAUUAAAUACACUGCGAAGUGAAGUCUACUUAGCAUUGAAUACUUUUCCAGACAUGGAUAUCCUUCUAGGAAACUUAAUAAAACUUGAAAAAAAAAUUGGAUUCCUGGAGGAAAACUUAAUGAUUCACAAGAAGGAAGUAACAGAACCUUAUAAAAAGUAGGCCCGCUGUAAGAACAAGGCCUCCUACUGCCCAAGAAACUCUUUCAUUAGAUGGCAUAUCCUGGAGCCACUGCUGGAAAUCUUCUAAGAGCCCAGAGUUCCCAGUUUUGUGGGGUUUCUCAGAUCGUGAAGCUCCCCAUGAAUCAGCAAUUGAAUCAAGACUCGCUUUGCCACCAUAACAGGACACUUCUUCAAUACCACCAUGCAUGCCAACGGAUUGUUCAACACGGAAACCUGCAGCAAGGCAUAAUUCUGUUCCAUUGGAUGCCCAUUCAGAUGCUCUACCACAAACAAAGUCAUUUGCUCCACAUGGUGCUAGAACCUGACAGAAAGUUUCUUCAUUUGAAUUAGAUCUAGGGGAAUAUCUAAAUUGAGAAGAUACUAAAGCAGUAUGACACAAAGCAAAACUAAAUAAAGCUCCAACGCUCAAACACAUUAAUGUACAACAGAGAAGAUAUCCGACUUCAUUGAAUGAUGGGAAGCACCAUGAAACUAACCAUCCUAGCUAUCAAAUUAUUACAACCUAAGUGUCGAUAGCUCUUCAGAGGAUAUAUUAAAACUUUAUAAACACGCAACCCUCCCCCGACCCCAUUAGUAUAUGAUCUUUACAUGGUGACUUAGAAGUCUACCUGUGUCUUUGCAUCCAUUGAGAAGUAAGCAUUAGAGCAGGCCCGAAAUACUCUAUCACAGAAGGAUGUGCAUAUAAGUGGGGGUCCAGGCUGAACUCCGACUCGUGGAUCGCAUAUGGAACAUUCCAGCAAUUCUCACAAAUGCAAACACUCUUCACUGGCUUCACCUGUUAAAGCCAGCCUCCUAAUAGAAAGCAAAGCAGGAUGUGCCUGGGCAGCAUCACAGCAAGUCUUUUUCCGAAACACCCUACAGAGUGUCAAAUCCUUGUGUCCCUUCCCCACCCUUUUAGGAGGUUUCCCCUCAGAAGAGAAGGGCGGAAAGCGACCACCUUGACAUACACAAAGACCACCGACUUCUCCUGGUAGAUAAAAACAAAUGAAUCUAACAUGCUGCAGCUUUGUAGGCAAAAUUUAGAACCAUAAAUUGUUGUAUUUAAGGAAGACCAUUAAAUGAGAAGCUCUUCAAAGUAAAAACACAACAUGCUUAAAAGAAAUAUCUGCAAUCUACAGAGUAAUCUAACACAUACACAUGGGUAAAUCAGCUAACUUUGAAGCUUAAAAUUAACAACUAAAAAGAAAAAAAAACAAAAUACCCCAUUAUCUAAACCCAAAUAAAAGAAACAAAGCCCUGCUAACAUCACGGUUCAAUUGAUUGAGGCCAAAAGAAACCUCCUUUUUAUCAAAACAACAACAAUUAAUGCCUAAUCUCCAACCCUAUGUCAAGAAUGAAAAACUUGAAACAAAACGCGUAACAGUAUCAAUAAAAGAAAGAAACCCAAUGAAAGAAUUUUUGAAGCUAAACGAACACUAAUAAAAACAAGAAAAAAAGAAGAAGAGGAAAGCAUAUAUUGUUUGUUACCAUAGGAAAAGGGCAAAAGAAGGUUGAAAAGGAGAAGAAAUAUAAGAAACCCAAGUUCAAUGUUAUUCAUUGCUUUUACUUGUACUCUGAUUUUUGAGCUGUGAAUCAUUGAGAAAACCCAGAAAGGUGGCGGGGAUCCUGCAUUUACAGUGGUGGAAGAACUGAAAGAAGAAGAAACUGGAAGAGUGGAAGAGAUCAAUGAGCAGAGACUAAAACAACGUUAGUA
RNAcentral lists this long non-coding RNA (20634 nucleotides) under Gossypium barbadense (sea-island cotton). RNAcentral's name for it is "long non-coding RNA (GBAR_LNC018865)". The record is from RNAcentral. Lineage: Eukaryota; Viridiplantae; Streptophyta; Magnoliopsida; Malvales; Malvaceae.